CCUACGGGGGGCAGCAGUGAGGAAUAUUGGUCAAUGGACGAGAGUCUGAACCAGCCAAGUAGCGUGAAGGAUGACUGCCCUAUGGGUUGUAAACUUCUUUUAUAUGGGAAUAAAAUGUUCCACGUGUGGGAUUUUGUAUGUACCAUAUGAAUAAGGAUCGGCUAACUCCGUGCCAGCAGCCGCGGUAAUACGGAGGAUCCGAGCGUUAUCCGGAUUUAUUGGGUUUAAAGGGAGCGUAGGUGGAUUGUUAAGUCAGUUGUGAAAGUUUGCGGCUCAACCGUAAAAUUGCAGUUGAAACUGGCAGUCUUGAGUACAGUAGAGGUGGGCGGAAUUCGUGGUGUAGCGGUGAAAUGCUUAGAUAUCACGAAGAACUCCGAUUGCGAAGGCAGUUCACUGCACUGCAACUGACACUGAGGCUCGAAAGUGUGGGUAUCAAACAGGAUUAGAUACCCCAGUAGUC
This 460-nucleotide ribosomal RNA is filed under the name uncultured bacterium. Its description in RNAcentral is "partial 16S ribosomal RNA". It matches the Rfam family "Bacterial small subunit ribosomal RNA", at positions 338 to 795 of the family's 1533-position model. The record is from RNAcentral.